GGGAAGCUGGACAAAGGAAUCGGCCGGCUGGAGGAGGGGGAGUUCAGUUUCGGUUUGGGGCUGGGUGAGGGAAUUCAGGGAAGCCUAUGCUGGGAUCCAAGUGCCCUGAACCCAAGAAGGACUCGAUUGAGGGGUCCUGACUGCCUGCAAGCUCUGCUGUAACCUGCAUUCCUGUUGUCCAACAAACCUUCUGUUUUACUGGCUGGCUGAGAGUCACUGUGGGUCCCAGGAAAAGGGGUGCAGGAGCGGACUCCCCCACACUACGUGACAGUCUGCAGUUGGGACU
Long non-coding RNA from Gopherus evgoodei (Goodes thornscrub tortoise), 286 nucleotides. RefSeq lists it as uncharacterized. The transcript is spliced from 3 exons. NCBI's taxonomy places the organism in Eukaryota, Metazoa, Chordata, Testudines, Testudinidae. The record is from RefSeq and is a predicted model, not a curated record.